AUGAGAUCUUUGUCCCUUUUGCUCAUUCUCCUAAGCGCCUCACCUGGCAUCCUUUCCAGUCCACAGCUAAUCGAGACUGGCCCAGGAGUGGUGAAGCCAGGUGAGUCCUUCAAACUGACCUGCACUAUCUCUGGUUUCCAAGUCAGUAAUUAUAACUGGGUCUGGAACCGACAGCCUCCAGGGAAAGGCCUGGAGUUUAUUGGUGCUAUUCGGAGCUCUGCAGCUGGAGGAACCACCUAUUAUAACCCAGCAUUCAGUAGUCGGAUUUCUAUCACCAGGGACACCUCCAGAAAUGAAGUGUAUCUUCAGCUGAAUUCCCCGACAGCUGCAGACACCGCUGUGUAUUUUUGUGCACGAGACACAUAUCACUGUGACUACUAUGCUUUUGACAUAUGGGGACAAGGCACCCUGGUUACAGUGAGCAGUGCGAGCACCACAGCCCCGACGGUCUUCCCAUUGCCUCCCUGUAGCCAAGACUCCUCUACCACCUCCCAGGUCUCCAUAGGUUGUCUGGUCUCUGGCUACUUUCCUGAACCGGUCAUAGUACGGUGGAAUUCAGGAGCCAUCUCCAGCGGCAUCCGGACUUUCCCUGCAAAAUUGGAUUCAUCCAGGGGCCUCUACACCCUCACCAGCCAGCUCACCAUCCCAACCAGCACCUGGGAAUCGGAGAAGUUCCAAUGCAAUGUCGCCCAUGCAGCUUCCAGCUCCACAAUCAGCAAAGACAUUGAACGAACAUCUGCAAAAUCACCAGUGGCCCCGGAAGUCCGCCUGCUCCAUUCCUCCUGCGAUUCCAAAUCCAGUAGUGCCACCAUUGAGCUGUUCUGCAUUAUCUCCAGCUUCUACCCCAAAAUGUUGACGGUGGAAUGGCUGGUGGGUGGGCAAGCCGGGCUCCUGCCUUCAUUCACUGAGCAGCCCAAGAAGGAUGCCCACGGAUACACUUUCAGUACCACAAGCACAGCCAAUGUCAGCCAAGCUGACUGGCAGGCUGGGAAUGUCUACUACUGCCAGGUGUUCCACGAAGCAACACAAACGAAGGUGAAUAGCAAAGCCAAGAUAUGUGAAGAUGCUACCGCCUGCCCUUCCACUGGCAUUGACGUAAGAAUCAUACUCCCAACUCCAAAAGACCUGUAUGUAAACAGCGACCCCAAACUCAUCUGCGUGGUGGAAAACUUGAUAGAUACAGAUGGGCUGAUAAUCACCUGGUCACGGCAGACACCAGGACCUGUGAGCCAAGAACUACUGGAAACAAAAGAAGAGCCUAAUGGAAAGUUCACCGCUACGAAGGCCCUCUCUGCCACAACGUGGCUACAGGGAGAUGAAUUCACCUGCAAAGUGGAAUAUCCAGGCCUGGCUGCUCCCAUCAUCAGGACCAUUGCCAAGACGGCAGGAACGGUCCAUGCUCCUGAGGUGUACCUUUUCCGACCCCACCCUGAGGAAAUCCGUACUCGGCCACCUAUGGUGACCCUCACCUGCCUGAUCACUGGGUUCACCCCAGAGGCAAUUUCUGUCCAGUGGCUGAAGAAUCACAACGCUAUACCUGACGAUCACCAUGUCAACACCCCAGUCAUGAAGAACAACAACAACCAUUCCUACUUCAUGUACAGCCACAUGAAAAUCGCAUUAACUGACUGGAACAAUGGAAAUGCGUUCACCUGCAUGGUUAUCCACGAAGCCCUCCCCAUGAAGUUCACCCAGAGGACCGUGGAGAAAUCCCAGGAGGUGGCUGUGUUAACAAUGGAUGAUUACAGCGAUGAGAAAGAGGAGGAAAUGGAUCGUCUCUGGGUCACCAUCUUUGUUUUCUUCAUUCUCUUCCUCCUCAGUGUUUCUUACAGUGCCACCAUUACACUGUUCAAAGUAAAAUGGCUCUUCUCCACUGUGGUGGUCCUGAAAAAGCAGCCAGCAGGCCCUGACUAUAAGAAUGUGCACCAAUGAUUGGCCUAGAAGCAUUUUCCUGGGAGCUCUUGUCCUACAUGUUGAGCAGUGCAAAGGAGAAGUCACUGGCUGGAGAUAGGACUCCGUUUCCAGCAUUGACAACCAAAGCUAUCUGCUAUCUGCUUCUCUUCCCUGGUAGGGGGACAAUGAAGCCCCAUCAGAUGAAGGACAGAGAGGCAAUUUUGUUAGAACUUGGAGCUGGACUCGUCAUAUUAUGUCAUUUGCUGAGACGGCACUUCCAAGACAGGAAGCCUACUGGCCCUAUGUGCAUCUGUUUCCCACAGUGACUGUCAAGAAGAGCAACUAGUACUCCCAACCCAAGGUGUAUUAGUACUCCCAAACCAAACGACUAGUACUCCCAACCCAAGAGCACAGGUCUUGAUAAAGGAUUUUGGCACAUCUACUCAGCGUUAAGUCCUUCUGAGUUCAAUGGGACAUACAUCUAAGUAUACAUAUGACUGCAGCCUAUGUAUCCACUGGACUCUCCCCAUUUCAGAGUUCAGAUCUCCUCUCAACCCCAUGUUUUUGUUCAGUUUCUGUUAAUUGAUU
Podarcis muralis (Common wall lizard) is the source of this 2481-nucleotide non-coding RNA. The record is from the annotation of a RefSeq genome assembly. Lineage: Eukaryota; Metazoa; Chordata; Lepidosauria; Squamata; Lacertidae.